UACGUAGGGGGCAAGCGUUGUCCGGAAUCAUUGGGCGUAAAGAGCGCGUAGGCGGCCCGAUAAGUCCGCUGUGAAAGUCAAGGGCUCAACCCUUGAAUGCCGGUGGAAACUGUCGGGCUAGAGUCCGGAAGAGGCGAGUGGAAUUCCUGGUGUAGCGGUGAAAUGCGCAGAUAUCAGGAGGAACACCGAUGGCGAAGGCAGGUCUCUGGGCCACUACUGACGCUGAGAAGCGAAAGCAUGGGGAGCGAACAGG
This 253-nucleotide ribosomal RNA is filed under the name uncultured bacterium. RNAcentral describes it as "partial 16S ribosomal RNA". It matches the Rfam family "Bacterial small subunit ribosomal RNA", at positions 524 to 776 of the family's 1533-position model. The record is from RNAcentral.